RNAcentral lists this long non-coding RNA (1198 nucleotides) under Cricetulus griseus (Chinese hamster). RNAcentral's name for it is "lncRNA (ENSCGRG00015030264.1)". The record is from RNAcentral. Lineage: Eukaryota; Metazoa; Chordata; Mammalia; Rodentia; Cricetidae.
AAAAAUCUUAAGUAAUGCAUUGACUGAGCCAGGCUGGGUCUGCUGUCUUCCAUUUGUUCCUCCUAUGAUGCCCGCUGACUGGAAAGCUUACUCCACCCUGGUCCAGAAGUGUGCAUGAGGCAGGAGGCUUGUUCCCACCUGGAUCCUGCAGAAAUGACUCUAUGAGGUCUACACUAACUGUACUUUAAAAAAAAGUAGACUUUGAAGUUUAGAGUAAUUCAAGAUUAUAAAGAAGGUUCAAAAACAGUGUGGCUUACCGUCUAUGACCAGCAGCAAGUGCCCCCCAGUGUCAGCUGCUCAGGAGCCUUCUGCCAACUAAAGCUUGUCCUUCAUCCAUGAGAACCCUAUGUGAUACUUAGCUCCUUAGGGUUUUCUAGGUGGAGAAAGCUCCUCACACUUUUGUCUUAACUGGCAGCACAGAGAAGCCCUGGCCAGGUUAUCACAUGGCGGCUCCAUGGAGAAGAGAGGAGAAAGAGGAAGAGAAAGAGAGCAAUUUCUUGCUUGUCCCUGCUUAUAUUCUGAGUCUGCCUGCUAUGUCACUUCCUGCCUGGAUCACAAGACUUAUCUUUACUACAUUUCCCAGAAUCCUCCUUGACUCCUAGUCCCACCUAACUUGCUUCCUCAUUGACUCCUAGUCCCGCCUAACUUCAUUCCUCACUUUAUUCAACAACCAAUAAGAUAAAUAUACACAGAAGAACUUGCUGUAUCACACUCCCAAACUCAUCUAUGUCAACCCCACACCCCCCCAAACUUAUCUAUGUAACCCCACACCCCCAAACUCAGGGAACAUGGUGGGAAAGGAGGUAAAAAGACGAUGAGAUGGAGGGUGGGGAUGAGUGUUGUGAAAUGCUGCCUCUGGGCACAUGGCGGUGACUUUCGUGGACUUGCAGCAGCUGCAGGUACCUGCACAAGAUCAAGCUGGUCCGCAUUCCAUCAGGGAUGGGAGGGCUCUGCUCCUCUCUGGGGAGCUAUUUGCAGUUAAUGGCAGCUGGAGGAGCGGGGUUAUUUUUCUUCAGUGAUGUAGCUUAGCUAUUGGUUAAGCCGCUCAUGCUCCUGUGCAUGGUCCCACACCCACACGCAUGCAAGAAACACUAAUUAAACUCUGUGUCGUAAAAAGAGGUCACACGUGUAGGAGGGUGAUGACUUCUUGAAGGGACCCAGAGGGAGCUGGAGGGGGACUAAGAAAGGGUAAUGGAGG